Molecule: long non-coding RNA, 393 nt
Filed under: Phaseolus vulgaris (common bean)
Lineage: Eukaryota; Viridiplantae; Streptophyta; Magnoliopsida; Fabales; Fabaceae
Description: long non-coding RNA (PVUL_LNC004780)
Source: RNAcentral
CAAGGUGAAAAUUUCAGAGCCUAUAUAUAGUGUUUAUAUUACUAUCCAAGGAGCCUAAAAUGAGGAGACAUAGAGCUUUAUUAUGUAGACCAUCUGAAACUGAUAGGCACUGACAGGAAGACCAAAAAAGAUAUUGAAUACAUCAGUUUAUGAUUAGAUAAGAAGCUAGAACUAUGUGAGAAACUUUUAGGAAAACCAUUAUGUGACUUUCGUGGAUGAACUAGAACAAUAUAUUCACAACAUAACAUGAAAAAGAAAUUCCUGACCAGAUUUGCUAUUGUAUUUGAUGGUGCUGUAGGGGAACAUUGAUAUACAUGGGGAAGCCAGAUGCACUACAAGCUCAUUUGUCCAGAUUUGGAAGGCCUGUACCUGAUGGAGAAAACAGUAUUGAGU